UUCACUUUGCUUUUAUAAUAUAUCCAUAAGGAACCUCUUUCCUUUCUCUAUCAGGUUUUCUGAAAUAACAUUUAGUGCUGCACAUGCCUCUGAGAUCCCAGGGUGGAAGCCCAUGGUUUCCUUAAAGGUUCUGAUCUCCACACCAGCAAGGCAGCAUGAACCUGCUGUACUGUCAGCAAUCACCUCCCUGCCACCACAGAAGGUUCUUACUCUUUGGCAAAGCAACGAGAAUAGUCAUCAGAGCUGCAGAAUCUACAGCCUUCUGUAGAGCCCCAGAGCUGCACACUCCAAGGAAGAAACUUCUUUACAGUGUCAGCAACAUUAUUCCUCUGCCUGCUGAAUGCACGAGCAAAGGUGAGCGUACAGUCAGAGCACAAGAGGGAAAGGAUGCUUUGGUCAGGUGACUGGACUCUCCACAGAGCUGUAAGUAAAAGAUGGCUUGUUUGGUUAAUGAUGCAUGUGGCAGCCGUUUCACUGAUAG
Molecule: long non-coding RNA, 481 nt
Filed under: Struthio camelus australis
Lineage: Eukaryota; Metazoa; Chordata; Aves; Struthioniformes; Struthionidae
Description: lncRNA (ENSSCUG00000013400.1)
Source: RNAcentral